This 1666-nucleotide long non-coding RNA is filed under the name Anas platyrhynchos (mallard). RNAcentral describes it as "lncRNA (ENSAPLG00020006459.1)". Lineage: Eukaryota; Metazoa; Chordata; Aves; Anseriformes; Anatidae. The record is from RNAcentral.
CCAGGUUGCUGAUUACCAGAGUAACUGCCAAGCUUUCAACUCCUUGUCAUCAAUGGGCUGUGAAUGACAGACAGCAUUAAUGUUGGCAAGCUCCCACUCUCCUUUUCGCCUUUCCCAAAUGUAAUUAAACUGCACUAAUACAGCAAAAGAAGAGCUGCAGCUUUAUUUUACUCACCCUAAUAAUUAAAUCACAGAAGCACACAAUGGAGUCAAAUAAACCCAUCAUGGCACAGAAAUUCAGAGGAAGGACGGAGGCUGCAGUAUUCCGAGGCUAUCAAAGGGAGAACCAGCACCUCAAACAUCCACCUCAUAUGUUUAUAACAUCAAGCAAAGAAAGAAGAAGCCACAAAGGACAUCGAAAAACAGAAGAGCAUAAAUAAGUCUUCAACUGUUCUUGUGCAUCAACAAUAAUUCUUUUGUAAGAAGCCGUAAAACUUCCUCGUGAAAUUGCAACAGGUGAUGGAACUUCAAAAUUCAAUGUCCAGAGCCAAAGAUAUAAAAAGCUGCUCAGGAAUUCACAAUCUGCAGCCACAGUCUUCCAUGGGAAUCCCUUUGAAAGGAGUGCUGUAUGUGUGUGUGAAAAGUAUAGAAGAGAAAGCUUAAGUGUAGAAUGAACAAGCACUGGGACUCUGGUUCUUUCAAAAAGCUAAAGGAGCAUUUUUCAGCUGAAUACUGUUCCAUAUGACUGAGUUGUGAACUGAGACAGUCUCUUCCUAUUUGAGUCCUUUUUUUGUUCAAGCAAAUGGGAUGACAUCAGGAAAACAGCUGACUCCACCAAACAGUUUCUGCUCCUAACUGGAACAACCUGCAAUGCCCAGAGUGGUGACUCAGCAGGUAAGAGGGGUCAUAACAUGUGUUAAUUGCCAGGAUAGUUAUGAUGUCUUAGAAAAUAAUUUUUAUCCUCUGUUCAUCACAUGGAUCCAGUCUUGUCAUUUGUGAACUAAAAUCUGGGCAGGAUUACUGGCACAAUGAGAAGUGGAUCCAUACCAUAAAUGUAAGGGACUGGGACAAACAGAGGCAAGUCCACAGUAGGAACAGUAUUGUUCGGUGCCAAAAAAAAGUGUGAAAGAUGAUACUAUUAUCUUAGAAAAAAGAAAUCUUAUGCCAGUGAUGUUAGAACCUCAGAAAUAAUGUGUCAAAGACGUUGGAACAUUUAGAAUACAAUCUCUUACUGUUCCAAUGUCAUCAACAUGUUGUUCUCACCAUUUUCUAUGACAAGUGAAUUUACUGAGUCAAUUUGUCUUCAACAUGUUAAAUGUACUAUGUGUAGGCAGGUAAGCUAACCUUAUUUAUAUAGUAUAACAAGGGAGAAUGCUAACUACACUCACUUUUGCACUUUUGAAAACUGUUUUCUAAGAGAAAAUACUACACAUCCAUUUUCAGAGCUGCGCUUUUCUCACACCUGACCUAGUGUUUCUCAAGAGAAUUGCUUCAACAAAGAGGGGGAUAAUUCUACCUGUGGUGUUGAAGUGAAAAUUUUGGUUGGCUCAUUACUCUGCUUGAACUGCUCUCGCACCAGAUAUUCCUUCAUCUUUCCUAAAAAAAAAAGUUCUCUAAAAGUAAGACCCUGAAAUGUCUGUCCCCCCUUCUGCUUCAUGCAUUACUUUAGUAUUUCUAGGUCUACCUUUUUAAUUUAUUAUUUUUUUUUUUUCCCCACUAAUUGCUU